Molecule: unclassified non-coding RNA, 285 nt
Filed under: fungal sp.
Lineage: Eukaryota; Fungi
Description: partial internal transcribed spacer region
Rfam family: Eukaryotic small subunit ribosomal RNA (bases 1-46)
Source: RNAcentral
AAGUCGUAACAAGGUUUCCGUAGGUGAACCUGCGGAAGGAUCAUUAACACAAUUUUACUGUGAUAAAUCCGUUGAAUUCUCGAAUUCAAUGGUAUCCACCCCAUUAUUGACGAACUUUUCUAGAUGUUAAAACAUAGAGCUAGUCUUUAUGCUUUUAACAUUCUAAACCUUUUUCUAUAUCCACACAAAUUUAAACCCCUUUUACAACAUGUAUUAGACUGAAAUGAAAAUUUUCUAUCAAAAAAUUGAUAAAAACAACUUUUAACAACGGAUAUCUUGGCUCUC